Long non-coding RNA from Engraulis encrasicolus (European anchovy), 1243 nucleotides. RefSeq lists it as uncharacterized. NCBI's taxonomy places the organism in Eukaryota, Metazoa, Chordata, Actinopteri, Clupeiformes, Engraulidae. The record is from RefSeq and is a predicted model, not a curated record. The transcript has 3 exons.
UUCAAGUAAGUUUGGCUGCUAAAAUGUUUUGAUAUUUGCUGAACAGACAUGCAAUUGCCUGCAUAGUCCCCUCUUAUUUGAAAAAUGAAUCCCUGUCGCUUGCAAGAUGUACAAUCUCAUGCACGUCGUGCAUAGCUAAUUGGGAGAGGUGGACGCCAGAUGUAAACAAACAGAGAGGGGUGUGUGUCAGUGACAGUCACGUUGAGUAAGUUUUGCAGAUGUAGGCAAAUAGAUGUGAGAUUGGCAUAUUACUAACAGUGUUGGACUAAAUGUAAAUUAGUUUUUUUCUUGAGGUCUUUGUGGUGGGUCAUGUUGGUUGUUAUGUUUGGAUGAGGUUAGCCUAAGUCACUGACUUCUGAAAUGACUGCAUGUUGGAAUGACUUGUCCUAGGCUUUCUUACAGUAGGCUACUGACCUCAUCAAUAAAUCAUGGCGUUGUGAAUCUGUUGAUGUAUUUAUUUGCACUCAUGUAGUAAUGCACUGUCAUGAAAGCUAAAUUGUGACAUAACUUUUUUCCUCUGUCAGUUGGCUAUGACAUAUUUAUUGACCAGAUAAGUGGAAGUGCCUGCUUAUGCAGACCCAGUGUAUACAUGCUGGCAUUGUUUCAUGUGUUUAUGCUAUGGCAAGUUUGACACAGUAUUUGCUAUAGUGAUAUUUAUUUUUUGUGACAUUUAAUCUCAUCUAAAUCUCAUUUGUUUUUGAACAGUGUUGGGUAGCCAGCCACCCAUGCACGAUGACAAUGCCAGCAGCGGGCACCCAUGGGGAUGGACCCAGGAGUGGAGGAUGACCCAGUAUGAUGAAAGUUCAGCCCACUCACUGACACCAGUGACACAGUAUUGACCAGAUCUCCUGGAAGUGCCUCCUGACGCAGACCCAGUGUAAGUAUGCAUGCUGGCACUGUUUCGUUUAUUUAGGCUAUGCCGGGUUUGACACAGUAUUUGCUUUUAGUGAUAUGUAAUAAAUAUUUUGUCUGAUAUUUAAUCUCAUCUAAAUCUCAUUAUGUUUUUUAACAAUGUUGGGUAGCCAGCCACCCAUGCACGUUGACACAGCCAGCACUGAGCACCCAGGGGGAUGGACCCAGGAGUGGAGGACGGCCCAAUAGGAUGAAAAUUCAUCCCACUCACUGUUGACACCAAUGAGGGAACAAGAGAGGCUAGGCAACCCCAUCUUUUGACAACGGUCACCACCAGUCUAUUUCUAAAAAUGUUAUUAUUAUAUAUCUGUUAUAUAACAAUGUAUUUGUG